This 544-nucleotide long non-coding RNA is filed under the name Androctonus crassicauda. Lineage: Eukaryota; Metazoa; Arthropoda; Arachnida; Scorpiones; Buthidae. The record is from RNAcentral.
AAGUGCCAGAGAGAGGCGAUUAGAUUGAGUUACGAGACUGGUCCAUCGUUAGGCGAUGGCUGCUACAUAAAUCUAGUUGCAGUCGGCCGAACCUGUUCCGGGACUGGGAGGGUGAUGUACUGCAGGCCAUUAGGCCCGGCUAUAAAUAAACAUAGGGGGAGAAAUUCUGUUAAAAUUUCAGGUCGCCGGCACAGCAAACAAGCGUAUAAAUCUCUGGCUUUUACUGCCGCGGCCCGUCACACGAUACGACGCUUUUGCUUGUCCGCUCUUUUAACACUACAGCCGUAUAAAGUCCAGACGUUUCCUGCACCUGACAUCUGUCUUCCCCCACGUCCACUCUCUCGGCCAACCAACCACAAUUAGUUUCUGUAUUAUAAACAGGUGAUAAAAUACAACCGACGUCAUUCGCUCCUUUUUAUAAGCCAUCGUCGCCAUCUUGGAUUAGGUUCUAAAACGGAAAAUAAUAAUAACGCGAUGAAUAAAUAAUGCGAAUAAUCAAAUAGUGUUAGCGCUCGUGUUUUCGUAUGCGUACAAGGUUGUUUCG